This is a long non-coding RNA of Mobula hypostoma (lesser devil ray), 318 nucleotides long. RefSeq lists it as uncharacterized. The transcript has 3 exons. The record is from RefSeq and is a predicted model, not a curated record. Lineage: Eukaryota; Metazoa; Chordata; Chondrichthyes; Myliobatiformes; Myliobatidae.
AGGGAGCAGGCCGACCUCUGGUAAUCACCCUCAACGUGAGAAGAUGGUGGAUAGGGUUCCUGCGCCACUUCGUAGCUGAAACCAUUUGCUCCCUGCCUCCUGGCAGUUGACCUAAGGUUAGAAGACCCACGGAAUAAUAGUGGAGCCGAGAUCGUGGGUUCCUGGAGCGGCUGGAAAGAAAAGAGUGAACGGCGAGACAUCCCCGCUGCAAUCCAGACGCUCUUAAGAUUCCUGAGCGUUUCUACUACUGUUUCAGAUACUCGCAGCGUUUUCUAAUUUUUGGGGUUUCUGCUCGAGACUUUAAUAAAGAAAAUAUAA